RNAcentral lists this ribosomal RNA (460 nucleotides) under uncultured bacterium. RNAcentral describes it as "partial 16S ribosomal RNA". It matches the Rfam family "Bacterial small subunit ribosomal RNA", at positions 338 to 795 of the family's 1533-position model. The record is from RNAcentral.
CCUACGGGUGGCAGCAGUGAGGAAUAUUGGUCAAUGGACGAGAGUCUGAACGAGCCAAGUAGCGUGAAGGAUGAAUGCCCUAUGGGCUGUAAACUUCUUUUAUAAAGGAAUAAAACGAGGCACGUGUGCCUUUUUGCAUGUACUUUAUGAAUAAGGAUCGGCUAACUUCGUGCCAACAGCGGCGGUAAUACGGAGGAUCCGAGGGUUAUCCGGAUUGAUUGGGUUUAAAGGGAGCGUAGAUGGGUUGUUAAGUCAGUUGUGAAGGUUUGCGGCUCAACCGUAAAAUUGCAAUUGAUACUGGCAGUCUUGAGUACAGUUGAGGUAGGCGGAAUUCCUGGUGUAGCGGUGAAAUGCUUAGAUAUCACGAAGAACCCCGAUUGCGAAGGCAGCUUACUAAACUGUGACUGACAUUGAUGCUCGAAAGUGUGGGUAUCAAACAGGAUUAGAUACCCUGGUAGUC